RNAcentral lists this ribosomal RNA (497 nucleotides) under uncultured bacterium. RNAcentral's name for it is "partial 16S ribosomal RNA". It matches the Rfam family "Bacterial small subunit ribosomal RNA", at positions 28 to 507 of the family's 1533-position model. The record is from RNAcentral.
GAUGAACGCUGGCGGCGUGCCUAAUACAUGCAAGUCGAGCGAACGGACGAGAAGCUUGCUUCUCUGAUGUUAGCGGCGGACGGGUGAGUAGCACGUGGAUAACCUACCUAUAAGACUGGGAUAACUUCGGGAAACCGGAGCUAAUACCGGAUAAUAUUUUGAACCGCAUGGUUCAAAAGUGAAAGACGGUCUUGCUGUCACUUAUAGAUGGAUCCGCGCUGCAUUAGCUAGUUGGUAAGGUAACGGCUUACCAAGGCAACGAUGCAUAGCCGACCUGAGAGGGUGAUCGGCCACACUGGAACUGAGACACGGUCCAGACUCCUACGGGAGGCAGCAGUAGGGAAUCUUCCGCAAUGGGCGAACGCCUGACGGAGCAACGCCGCGUGAGUGAUGAAGGUCUUCGGAUCGUAAAACUCUGUUAUUAGGGAAGAACAUAUGUGUAAGUAACUGUGCACAUCUUGACGGUACCUAAUCAGAAAGCCACGGCUAACUACGUG